AUUGAACGCUGGCGGCAGGCCUAACACAUGCAAGUCGAGCGGUAGAGAGAAGCUUGCUUCUCUUGAGAGCGGCGGACGGGUGAGUAAUGCCUAGGAAUCUGCCUGGUAGUGGGGGAUAACGUUCGGAAACGGACGCUAAUACCGCAUACGUCCUACGGGAGAAAGCAGGGGACCUUCGGGCCUUGCGCUGUCAGAUGAGCCUAGGUCGGAUUAGCUAGUUGGUGGGGUAAUGGCUCACCAAGGCGACGAUCCGUAACUGGUCUGAGAGGAUGAUCAGUCACACUGGAACUGAGACACGGUCCAGACUCCCACGGGAGGCAGCAGUGGGGAAUAUUGGACAAUGGGCGAAAGCCUGAUCCAGCCAUGCCGCGUGUGUGAAGAAGGUCUUCGGAUUGUAAAGCACUUUAAGUUGGGAGGAAGGGCAGUAAAUUAAUACUUUGCUGUUUUGACGUUACCGACAGAAUAAGCACCGGCUAACUCUGUG
Molecule: ribosomal RNA, 484 nt
Filed under: uncultured bacterium
Lineage: Bacteria
Description: partial 16S ribosomal RNA
Rfam family: Bacterial small subunit ribosomal RNA
Source: RNAcentral